AUUGAACGCUGGCGGCAUGCUUUACACAUGCAAGUCGAACGGCAGCACGAGUGCUUGCACUUGGUGGCGAGUGGCGAACGGGUGAGUAAUACAUCGGAACGUGUCCUAAAGUGGGGGAUAACGCAUCGAAGUUACGCUAAUACCGCAUAUUCUGUGAGCAGGAAAGCAGGGGAUCGCAAGACCUUGCGUUCUGGGAGCGGCCGAUGUCGGAUUAGCUAGUUGGUAGGGUAAAGGCCUACCAAGGCGACGAUCCGUAGCGGGUCUGAGAGGAUGAUCCGCCACACUGGGACUGAGACACGGCCCAGACUCCUACGGGAGGCAGCAGUGGGGAAUUUUGGACAAUGGGCGAAAGCCUGAUCCAGCAAUGCCGCGUGAGUGAAGAAGGCCUUA
RNAcentral lists this ribosomal RNA (390 nucleotides) under uncultured bacterium. RNAcentral's name for it is "bacterial SSU rRNA". It matches the Rfam family "Bacterial small subunit ribosomal RNA", at positions 30 to 419 of the family's 1533-position model. The record is from RNAcentral.